This 225-nucleotide long non-coding RNA is filed under the name Actinidia chinensis (golden kiwifruit). RNAcentral's name for it is "long non-coding RNA (ACHI_LNC004831)". The record is from RNAcentral. Lineage: Eukaryota; Viridiplantae; Streptophyta; Magnoliopsida; Ericales; Actinidiaceae.
UCAACAUGAUCUCAUGGGUCAUGAGUGAACCCAAGAGUUCAUCAAGACUCAUCGUUGUGAGAUCUUUAGCUUCUUCAAUAGCUGUGACUUUUGCAUCCCAAUGUUUUGGCAAAGACCUAAGAAUUUUUCUCACAUUUUCCACAUUAGUAUAACAUUUGCCAAGAGAUUUUAAUGAAUUUAUAAUAUUAGUAAAUCUAGUAAACAUCUCAGAAAUAGAUUCUUCAG